UAAAGAUGAUGCUUCCACAGCACAUAUAGCUUUGCUCGCCUGGCACUAAACUAAACCACACCAGGGGCAGUGCUUCAGCCGGGGACGCACAACACCAAUGGCACUUUAACACCAUUUUUAUGGGGAUAAAGUAGCAUUUAGAAAUCAAAUGCUUAAACCACAUAGUAAUAUACAGCUAUUUCUGAAGCUUAGUGUGUCAAAGUAAUGGACAGUGUCACUGUUCUUUCAGGUUUCAAAUCAAACGUGUUGGUAGGUGCUGGUUGAAACAUUUUGAGUAGGUUUGCAGAAAAUAUGCACUGAUCUUAGUCCAAGACUUAAAGCUAAAUUCCUCAAAGGGGAAAAAUAGUCUAAAACUAGGUUUAAUCCAACUUAAAGUGAGUAAAUAAUUACCAGAUUACAUCUUGGAGGAUCUCUUCAUGUAGAGUAAGGGUAACUGUUUGUGGUGCUUAAUGAGUGGGGUAGAGUGCACAUAACAUUUAUUCUUUUUUUUUUUUCUAGAGUGGUUUUGCAUCGACUCUUUAAGGUUAGGUAUUUGAAUAUGAAAAUCUGUUUCAGGCAACGUUAAAAUUAAAUCCUGUAUUCUUGAAAAUGUCAUUUUAGUGCUCAGCAAAGAUGAAAAUGCAACAAUAUAAUUUGCGUGUUUAAUUUUCACACCUCUUUAUGAAUAUUUUAUGUAUCUUAAAGUUAAAAAGGUAUAAUCUUUGAAGUUAUAAGCUGCCAUACUUUGGGAAAUAUUCAGAUGUUUUGUCAAUUUAAAAAGAAAUUAAAAUACAGUGGUGCAAUUUCAUUCACCUUUUUUGCAAGCAGAUGCAGUUUCUAACUGUUUCACUAUGGAAAUGCUUGCUGAAUGUUUAAUAAAUUGCAUUGUGUGUAUGUAUACCAUUUAACUUUCCAUUUUAAUAUUUGAAUAUCGUUUCUAAAACUAUUUGAAAAUAAAGUGUAAACAGCUUCUCCUGUUUCAUGUAAUAUGGAUACAGAAUAAUGGCGAUUAUUGCAUUUUCUUUUUUUUAAAUAACACACGUUAAUGUGGAAAUACAGGUGUGGCAUUUCAUUUUCUUUUUUUGUUUAUUAUGGUCCUGCAUGGCUUCCAUAUCUGACA
Molecule: long non-coding RNA, 1099 nt
Organism: Astatotilapia calliptera (eastern happy)
Lineage: Eukaryota; Metazoa; Chordata; Actinopteri; Cichliformes; Cichlidae
Source: Ensembl